UAAAAGGCAAAGCAUUUGAAAGAAUGCGACGCAAAGCUAUAGGGUCUUCAAUUUAAGACAGCCAGCUGC
RNAcentral lists this non-coding RNA (69 nucleotides) under bovine gut metagenome. RNAcentral's name for it is "Cyclic di-GMP-I riboswitch". It matches the Rfam family "c-di-GMP-I riboswitch aptamer", at positions 6 to 83 of the family's 87-position model. From Rfam's summary of the family: GEMM was predicted in a large-scale screen for bacterial structured RNA regulatory elements. Genes associated with GEMM are involved in a diverse array of functions, including chemotaxis regulation, signal transduction, secretion and chitin. The record is from RNAcentral.